AGUGAACGCUGGCGGUAGGCCUAACACAUGCAAGUCGAACGGCAGCACAGUAAGAGCUUGCUCUUACGGGUGGCGAGUGGCGGACGGGUGAGGAAUACAUCGGAAUCUACUUUUUCGUGGGGGAUAACGUAGGGAAACUUACGCUAAUACCGCAUACGACCUACGGGUGAAAGCAGGGGAUCUUCGGACCUUGCGCGAUUGAAUGAGCCGAUGUCGGAUUAGCUAGUUGGCGGGGUAAAGGCCCACCAAGGCGACGAUCCGUAGCUGGUCUGAGAGGAUGAUCGGCCACACUGGAACUGAGACACGGUCCAGACUCCUACGGGAGGCAGCAGUGGGGAAUAUUGGGCAAUGGGCGAAAGCCUGACCCAGCCAUGCCGCGUGAGUGAUGAAGGCCUUCGGGUUGUAAAGCCCUUUUGUUGGGGAAGAAAAGCAGCAGGUGAAUACCCCGCUGUCCUGACGGUACCCAAUGAAAAAGCCCCGGCUAACUUCGUG
RNAcentral lists this ribosomal RNA (492 nucleotides) under uncultured bacterium. Its description in RNAcentral is "partial 16S ribosomal RNA". It matches the Rfam family "Bacterial small subunit ribosomal RNA", at positions 29 to 507 of the family's 1533-position model. The record is from RNAcentral.